UUCCACAGCUUUCUUGAACUGCAUGGUAAUCUAAUCUAAUACAGAUAAAAUUAAGCUUGUUCUUCAAGUACAUGGUGCCAUGGUGGUAUAUCGCCUUUGCGGUUCAAUAAAGCUGUGGGAAA
This 122-nucleotide microRNA precursor is filed under the name Aquilegia coerulea. Its description in RNAcentral is "Aquilegia caerulea miR396a stem-loop (aqc-MIR396a)". Its record names the gene aqc-MIR396a. Lineage: Eukaryota; Viridiplantae; Streptophyta; Magnoliopsida; Ranunculales; Ranunculaceae. The record is from miRBase by way of RNAcentral.